GUUCCCACCAGGUUACUGUUCCCACCAGGUUACUGUUCCCACCAGGUUACUGUUCCCUCCAGGUUACUGUUCCCACCAGGUUACUGUUCCCACCAGGUUACUGUUCCCACCAGGUCCCACCAGGUUACUGUUCCCACUAGGUUACUGUUCCCACCAGGUUACUGUUCCCACCAGGUUACUGUUCCCUCCAGGUUACUGUUCCCUCCAGGUUACUGUUCCCUCCAGGUUACUGUUCCCUCCAGGUUACUGUUCCCUCCAGGUUACUGUUCCCACCAGGUUACUGUUCCCACCAGGUUACUGUUCCCUCCAGGUUACUGUUCCCACCAGGUUACUGUUCCCACCAGGUUACUGUUCCCACCAGGUUACUGUUCCCACCAGGUUACUGUUCCCGCCAGGUCCCACCAGGUUACUGUUCCCACCAGGUUACUGUUCCCACCAGGUUACUGUUCCCACCAGGUUACUGUUCCCACCAGGUUACUUUUCCCACCAGGUUACUGUUCCCA
Molecule: long non-coding RNA, 503 nt
Organism: Salvelinus fontinalis (brook trout)
Lineage: Eukaryota; Metazoa; Chordata; Actinopteri; Salmoniformes; Salmonidae
Exons: 3
Source: RefSeq, a predicted model, not a curated record